RNAcentral lists this ribosomal RNA (490 nucleotides) under bacterium Mabisi16. RNAcentral's name for it is "bacterial SSU rRNA". It matches the Rfam family "Bacterial small subunit ribosomal RNA", at positions 215 to 697 of the family's 1533-position model. The record is from RNAcentral.
UCGCUAUAAGAUGGGCCCGCGGCGCAUUAGCUAGUUGGUGAGGUAACGGCUCACCAAGGCGACCAUGCGUAGCCGACCUGAGAGGGUGAUCGGCCACACUGGGACUGAGACACGGCCCAGACUCCUACCGGAGGCAGCAGUAGGGAAUCUUCCACAAUGGGCGAAAGCCUGAUGGAGCAACGCCGCGUGAGUGAAGAAGGAUUUCGGUUCGUAAAACUCUGUUGUAAGGGAAGAACAAGUACAGUAGUAACUGGCUGUACCUUGACGGUACCUUAUUAGAAAGCCACGGCUAACUACGUGCCAGCAGCCGCGGUAAUACGUAGGUGGCAAGCGUUGUCCGGAAUUAUUGGGCGUAAAGCGCGCGCAGGUGGUUUCUUAAGUCUGAUGUGAAAGCCCACGGCUCAACCGUGGAGGGUCAUUGGAAACUGGGAGACUUGAGUGCAGAAGAGGAUAGUGGAAUUCCAAGUGUAACGGUGAAAUGCGUAGAGAU